RNAcentral lists this unclassified non-coding RNA (2080 nucleotides) under Hevea brasiliensis (rubber tree). Lineage: Eukaryota; Viridiplantae; Streptophyta; Magnoliopsida; Malpighiales; Euphorbiaceae. The record is from RNAcentral.
AUAUAUAUAUAUAUAUAUAAUUGACCUCUCAUUUUCUAUUGUCUAUCUGUCACUCACUGAGUUGUGGUCUCUGGUUUCCUUCUAGGCUCUUGCCAUGUCUAUUCCCAAUUCUUCCGGCAUCUCCCUUGGCCGAAGUUAAUAUUCUCCUAUCUCAUCUAUUUCUGGGUUCUUUGUUUUUCGGGGGUUCCGUUCAAUCCAACUAGGUGCUUUGCCAGCCUUUUCUUUUGGAUGAGUCCCCCUGUUCUAUACGUCUCUGAACGAUUUACACUUUCCUCUCUAGUAGCCUGUGGCCUCAUCUAAAGAGCAUAGGCAGCAGUGGCAUUGAGCCGAAGCUAUGUUUGCUAGUUCUAGGGGUUGCAGAUCUUAUAUCCAGUUUAGUUAGGUUUUCGGCCUUUCUCUUUCUGGGCUUGGGGUUGGAAUUGCAACUAGGUGACUUUUGUUAGCAGGCUUUGGGCCGAGAGUUUUAUAUAAACCUAAGCAUUAUUAAAGCUAUUUUGUGAAUAGAAAAAUUCAGAACCUGCCUCGUUGUUCGUGAUGUAUCUGAAUAAAUUAAUCAAAAUGAAAAUCUCAGAAUUGAGUAUGAUACAAGUAAUUUAGCAUAGUAUCUGAGUAAAAGAAAAUGCUAAUUAGUUUUUGGUUUACAGAAAGACCUUUUGGACAGUGGUGAAGAAGAAAUCGACAGAAAAUUACAGAGGGGUUCCAUACAUAACUACGUUACUCAGCACAAGUUUAUGGACUUUCUAUGGACUUCUGAACCCAGAUGGUUUGCUUGUGGUAACAGUGAAUGGGACUGGUGUUGUUUUCCAGUUCAUUUAUGUCACUCUAUUUCUCAUCUAUGCUCCCAAGGAUAAGAAGGUGAAGACAGCAAAAUGGGUGGCUUUAUUAGAUGUGGGUUUUCUUGGGGCAGUGAUAACAGUAACCCUUUUAGCCGUCCAUGGAAAUCUGAGGCUUACCUUUGUUGGAAUUUUAUGCGCUGCAUUAACCAUAGGCAUGUACGCAGCACCUCUAUCUGCCAUGAGAACCGUGGUAAAGACCAAGAGUGUGGAGUACAUGCCAUUCUUGCUUUCCUUCUUCCUCUUCCUCAAUGGAGGUGUUUGGUCCGUCUAUGCAGUGAUCGUCAAAGACUUCUAUAUUGGAGUGCCCAAUGCAACAGGGUUCGCGUUGGGGUCAGCCCAACUAAUUCUUUAUGCAAUGUAUAAGAACAAGUCGAAGUCAGCUAAAUCCAUAGAAGCCAUGGAAGAAGAAGGCUCAGCUCACUUGGUCAAAGGAGGCAUCGAGAUGCAGUCGCACAAUGACGAUGAAGAUGAUGAGACUGGCAUCAACAACCGAAGCCUCAAUAAGGGAAAAAGCCUACCAAAGCCAUCCGUAAAUAGACAAUAUAGCUUUAAAAAAAUCUGGAGGACACUUUCAUUGAAUGCUCAAGAUUUGCAAUCUGGUUGGCCCAAUGAGAGUGAUGUUGAGAAUAUGAAACUUGGAGACCAGCAGCCAACAGUGUAUGAAAUCCUCAGGGACUACAACUUUCCUAUGGGGCUACUUCCCAAGGGAGUUCUUGGCUAUGAUCUUGACAAAACAACAGGUAAAUUUUCUGCAUUCUUGAACGGUACUUGCAGCUUUUCUCUUGAAAGAUCUUAUCGGCUUAGAUACAAGUCAACCAUCCAAGGGUUCAUAUCCAGAGGGAGGCUUUCGAGCUUGGAGGGUGUUAGCGUGAAGUUGUUUUUCAUGUGGGUUGAUAUUUUUGAGGUUUCAAGAAAUGGUGAUGAUAUUGAAUUCUAUGUUGGGAUUGGUUGUGCUGGAUUUCCUAUAGAUGAUUUUGUGGAGCUUCCCCAAUGUGGGUGUGGUUUGAACUGUCCAAAACAGAGGAAAGCAAGCAAGCUCAGCUUGUCUUCUUCAUAAGGAAACUUGAAUCAAAGAUUUCAAUCAUAUGAAUUGUAAUUUAUUGGACUUCUUGAUUGUGAUUAUUGAUUGAUUGGAAUGAAUAGAAUUGGGUUGUGUUUAUUGUCAUAGCUCAUAAAUUGUUGACGCUUUUCCAUUCCAGUGAACUUGAAUGGUUUCUUUUUUAUGGGAUUUCAUAAAGUUACUU